Molecule: ribosomal RNA, 549 nt
Filed under: Conus byssinus
Lineage: Eukaryota; Metazoa; Mollusca; Gastropoda; Neogastropoda; Conidae
Description: partial 12S ribosomal RNA
Rfam family: Bacterial small subunit ribosomal RNA
Source: RNAcentral
AACCAAGAAAUUUAGUCAUUCUUUAUGGUAAAAGAACAGUUAGGCAAUGAUAGAAAAUUAUUAGAUCUUUAGUAUAGGAGUAAAAUCUAGAUACUAAAAGUUAUACCAGACAUAAUUUAUCUAAGACGCUGAGGCUGUGAUAGCUUUAAGGGAAACUGGGAUUGGAUACCCCAUUAUUUUUAGUUGUAAAUUUAGUUUGAGCUUACCAGAGUACUACGAAUAAAAAGUUUAAAACUCAAAGGGCUUGGCGGUGUUUUAGACCUCUCAGGGGAACCUGUCUCGUAAUCGACAAUCCACGAUAAACCUAACCUUUAAUGGCAACUCAGCCUGUAUACCGUCGUCGUCAGGUAACUUCUUAAAAUAUAGUAGUUAGCUCGAGAAUUAUAUUAAUUAAAACGUCAGAUCAAGGUGCAGCCAAUGAAAGGGUGAGGAUGGGUUACAAUUACAUAUUUGUAAAUACGGAAAAACAUUUGAAAUGAAGUGUCUUAAAGGAGGACUUGAAAGUAAUUUUAUUUAUAUAAAUAGAAUGAAUAGGGCUCUGAAACGUGC